AGGAUAAACGCUGGCGGCGUGCCUAACACAUGCAAGUCGAACGCGCUUACUAUCCGCGAGGAGGGUGAGCGAGUGGCGGACGGGUGAGGAACACGUGGGUGACCUACCUUUCAGUGAGGGAUACCGGCGAGAAAUUGCCGACAAGACCGCAUACGCUUCUCUUUUCAAGGGGGAGAAGGAAAGCUUUUCGCAAGAGAGGCGCUGGGAGAUGGGCCUGCGGCCGAUUAGCUAGCUGGUGGGGUAAUGGCCUACCAGGGCGACGAUCGGUAGCUGGUCUGAGAGGACGAUCAGCCACACUGGGAUUGAGAACGGCCCAGACUCCUACGGGGGGCAGCAGUGAGGAAUUUUCGGCAAUGGGGGCAACCCUGACCGAGCAACGCCGCGUGCAGGACGACGGCCUUCGGGUUGUAAACUGCUUUUCUCUGGGACGAGCAAGGACGGUACCAGAGGAAGAAGCCCGGCUAACUACGUGCCAGCAGCCGC
RNAcentral lists this ribosomal RNA (483 nucleotides) under uncultured bacterium. Its description in RNAcentral is "SSU rRNA". It matches the Rfam family "Bacterial small subunit ribosomal RNA", at positions 26 to 518 of the family's 1533-position model. The record is from RNAcentral.